UACAGAGGCCUCGAGCGUUAAUCGGAAUCACUGGGCGUAAAGGGUGCGUAGGCGGCGGAGUAAGUCGGGUGUGAAAUUUCGGAGCUUAACUCCGAAACUGCAUUCGAUACUGGCGUGCUUGAGGACUGGAGAGGAGACUGGAAUUCAUGGUGUAGCAGUGAAAUGCGUAGAGAUCAUGAGGAAGACCAGUGGCGAAGGCGGGUCUCUGGACAGUUCCUGACACUGAGACACGAAGGCCAGGGGAGCAAACGGG
RNAcentral lists this ribosomal RNA (253 nucleotides) under uncultured bacterium. RNAcentral describes it as "partial 16S ribosomal RNA". It matches the Rfam family "Bacterial small subunit ribosomal RNA", at positions 524 to 776 of the family's 1533-position model. The record is from RNAcentral.